This 253-nucleotide ribosomal RNA is filed under the name uncultured bacterium. RNAcentral's name for it is "partial 16S ribosomal RNA". It matches the Rfam family "Bacterial small subunit ribosomal RNA", at positions 524 to 776 of the family's 1533-position model. The record is from RNAcentral.
UACGGAGGGUGCAAGCGUUAUCCGGAUUCACUGGGUUUAAAGGGUGCGUAGGCGGAUUGGUAAGUCAGUGGUGAAAUCUCCAAGCUUAACUUGGAAACUGCCGUUGAUACUAUCAUUCUUGAAUAUCGUGGAGGUAAGCGGAAUAUGUCAUGUAGCGGUGAAAUGCUUAGAUAUGACAUAGAACACCGAUUGCGAAGGCAGCUUGCUACACGAUCAUUGACACUGAGGCACGAAAGCGUGGGGAUCAAACAGG